UACACCAACUCACGCUCCCCCCCUCUCGCAUCCGCAGCCGCAGCAGAGCAGCUGCUGCCAGCCCAGCAUCGCGGCGCCAGCGCUCCCUCUCCCUCCUAGUGGUGGGUGGUGGUUGGGUGGUUGCCUUCUCCUCCACCUCCUCACGCUGAUCUGGCGAGCGAUCGGUCGAUGGCCUCCUCCUCCUCGCUUCCGCGCUGAUCAGUGGUCGUGGUGGUCGUAGUAGCAGCACAGUGGGUUGGGCCUGAUCUUGGCGCGUUGGUGGGAGCGGAUCUUGGGGGGGGGGN
RNAcentral lists this long non-coding RNA (284 nucleotides) under Oryza brachyantha (malo sina). Its description in RNAcentral is "long non-coding RNA (OBRA_LNC002898)". The record is from RNAcentral. Lineage: Eukaryota; Viridiplantae; Streptophyta; Magnoliopsida; Poales; Poaceae.